GUACGAACCUCUAUGGAGAAGUAUGUACUGUAUGAUCGGUAGAAGAAGAAAAGCUGAAGGAAUAACAAAACUUUCCUCAAACUUAUUCUUCCUCCUUUCCCACCAUACUCUCCGACUUAUAUUAAUAUAGGAAAUAAACAAAGAGAUCUAUUACUCCUGCUCUACUUCAAUCUAGCAAAUGUUAUCUCCCAUUUUGUCUAUUUUAUAACAUUUUAAGAUUGAUUUUUUUUUUUCUUUCUGUCCUAUUACCCUUCUUCAUUCACCAUUUUCUCCAAAUACUUUUCUCAUAUCUUAAUUUUCUAACACAAAAUGUGUAAAUUAAAAAUUAAAAACUAAAAACGAAAUAAUUGUCAAAUGGAUGCUAAAUUUAACAAAGAAAAAAAAGGCUUAAAAAGUCUGGUCGCUUGAAGCCUUGAACUAAGUUCAGAGCAUGAUCAAUUUUCAGAGUAGAGUCCUGGAAAUACCAGGUUCAGACGUUAAGUGUAUGGUUUGAGAUUUGCUUACAAUAUUGUCAGCACGUAUAUGAAUACUUACUCAACAAGAUAAUUCGAUGCAUGCUAUCUUACUGUUGUUUUUAUUUUUCGUGUCUGAUUUAACAACUUAAUGCGAUCAAUAUUUCCGAAUACUUUUCUUAGUUCCAACUUCCAACUUUAGCUUAAGAAAAGUAGUUUCCUUGAAAAACAGAGGCAUCAAAAUUUUCUUGGUUGAAGUCAAUUACCAACAUAUAACAGACUUUUCAAAAGUCAUUAAAUCGAAAACAAAACAAAGAUGAUAUCGAAUUCUAGGUAGCUUUAAAAGUAGAUCAAUUACUUCUUUGGAUAAUGAAAAUUAUUUGAUAUAAAAAGUCGCCAAGGAUAUAAAAAUGGAUAAAAUUAAAUUAAGAAAUGGGGAAUUUCAGUUAUGUUACACAAUGAUCGAGACAAUAAUAAUAAUUUUGUUAUUCAACUCGUAAUCUACUAGAAUCGAACUUAAGAUAUUUUAUUUACAAGUGCGAAGAAUAUUUUAAACUCUACUACAAACUGCUAAGUUUGCAUCUCAAUUGAAUAUAGUGCUAAGUGACUCUUCAAAACUGUAAUUUAUCGUCCCAAGUUUUAGCGAUUUAUUUCAUUAUUGAAGUAUUUUGGAAAUUUAAUAGAAAUUAGUUCGUUAAAUUCUCCAUUUUAGAUAAAAGUGAAGUUAGGACUACCUUGGGCAUUUCAAAUUUACUCGACCUUUUUUGUCAACCUUUGAGUUGGUUAGAUGAGCUCAAUUCCACAAGUGCGUAGGCAAAAACUUCCCAAAACAGAGCUUUAAAAAAGAAAUUAUGAGCCACUAAAUUUAAGGCAUUUUUUGUCAUUUGAUAUCUUCUAUAAAGAAAUUACAAGCUACUAAAGUUUGGAGGAGCCUUCUAUUGAACUAAACAUGGUAAAUACCAAUAUUAAACUAAACAUGGUAAAUACCAAAAAUAUAUGAUAAUAUUUGGAAAUUUCUUGUAUAUUCAUUAAUCUCCAAAGUGGAGUAUAUAUAGGAGUUACAAUUGGUAUUACAUAUGUACUUCACCAAUGUGGGACAAUAAACUACUAUUUACAUUUUAACUAAUGUAUAACUCGCAACACUCCCCCUCAAGUUGGUGCAAAGAUGUCACGCAUGCCCAACUUGUCAAGCGAGUCGGAAAACGCACUAUUAGACACAGCCUUAGUAAGAGCAUCAGCCAGUUGAUCUUCAGAUCUCACAAACGGAAACAUAAUAAUUCCAGCAUCCAAUUUUUCCUUAAUGAAAUGUCGAUCAAUCUCCACAUGUUUUGUUCGAUCAUGUUGCACUGGAUUAUGAGCAAUCUCAAUAGCAGCCUUGUUAUCACAAUGAAGUUUCAUAGCACCUUUGUGUUUAAACCCAAGAUCUCUCAAUAAUUUUUCCAACCACAACAACUCACAUACACCAUGAGACAUACCACGAAACUCAGCUUCUGCACUUGACCUAGCCACCACUUUUUGUUUCUUGCUUCUCCAAGUAACUAAAUUACCACCCACAAACAUAAAGUAUCCAGAUGUAGAUCGCCGAUCAAUGAUAGAACCAGCCCAAUCUGCAUCUGUAUACCCUUCGACAUUCAAAUGAUCAUUCUUGGAGAAAAAACAGGCCUCUGCCAGGAGCCAUCUUCAAGUACCUCAAAAUACGAGUUACUGCAUCCAUAUGAGCUUCACUAGGUGAGUGCAUAAACUGACUUACCACACUAACUGCAUAAGCAAUGUCAGGGCGAGUGUGAGACAAAUAAAUUAAUCUCCCCACAAGCCUCUGAUACCGUUCCUUAUGAGUUGGAACUUGAUCUGGAAAUAAGCCCAGACGAUGAUUCUGCUCAAUCGGAGUAUCAACAGGUUUGCAAUCUAACAUACCUGUUUCAGCUAACAAAUCAAGGACAUACUUUCUUUGAGAUAGAAAAAUACCAUGCUUGGAUCGUGCAACCUCGAUUCCAAGAAAAUACUUCAAUUCACCCAAUUCUUUCAUCUCAAACUCAGUAGCUAGGUACUUUUGAAGGUGCUGUAUCUCCUUUUGAUCAUCACUAGUCACUAUCAUGUCAUCAACAUAAAUAAUCAAUGCAGUUAGCUUACCAUUUUGUCGCUUUAGAAACAAAGUAUGAUCUGAAUGACUCUGGAUAUACCCAAACUUCUUCAUUGAACUUGUAAACCUCCCAAACCAUGCUCUAGGAGAUUGUUUCAAACCAUACAAGGCCUUUCGUAACCUGCAUACAAUACCUUUUCCAGGAGAUGUUCCAAUACCAGGUGGGAGAUCCAUAUACACUUCCUCCUUAAGAUCACCAUGAAGGAAAACAUUCUUAACAUCAAACUGCAACAGAGGCCAAUCCUGGUUUGCUGCCAAGGACAGAAGAACACGCACAGUAUUAAGUUUGGCAACAGGAGCAAAGGUCUCCUGAUAGUCCACCCCAUAGGUUUGAGUAUAACCCUUAGCAACUAAUCUGGCUUUAUACCGAUCAAUAGAACCAUCUGCUUUGUGCUUAAUAGUAAACACCCAUCUACAUCCAACGGCUUUCUUCCCGUUUGGUAAAGGAACCAAAUCCCAAGUAGAAUUCUUUUCCAAAGCUUCCAUCUCAACUUUCAUAGCAUUAACCCACUUAGGGUCAGACAAAGCAUCUUGCAAUUUUGUUGGAAUUGAUACACUAGAUAGCUGACAUAUAUAAGAUGUAUAUGAUUGGGACAAACGAUGAGAAGACACAUAAUUGUUGAUAGGAUAUUUGGUUUUGGCAUGCAUAUCAGGCUCAUAUUGUAAUUUAGGUUUUCCACGAUUAGCUCGUGGAGGCAACUGAUAAGUAGAAGAAUCGUCAGAAUUUACCUCAUGUAUGCCACCAUCUUGUACCAAACAGUUAGAAGAAUCAUCACUGGACGAACCAUCAUUAGGCAACUCGUUAGACAUAUCAGCAGCAGGCAACCGAUCAUCAGAAGGUAAUUCAUCAGAUAUAUCAGCAGCAGGCAACCGAUCAUCAGAAGGUAAUUCAUCAGAUAUAUCAGCAGCAGGCAACCGAUCAUCAUCUGUAGUCGACUGAUUAGUAUCACGUAAAAUAAUAGGUUCUGUUCCCAACUCUGUCUGUAACACAUCAUCCAUAUCAUCUCUUUGAAUCUGCACUUCACUCCCCCUCUCCCCCUGAAGUGGAGAGUCGGAAGAGGGCUUCACAAAAUACGAAACUUCCUCAUGGAAGGUGACAUCCAUGGUAAUAUAAGUUUUUUGAGUCGGAGGAUGAUAACACUUAUAGCCUUUUUGAUUGUUAGCAUACCCAAUAAAGACACACCGGAGAGCACAUGCAUCAAGUUUACUCCGCUGAUGAGAGUAGACAUGCACAUACGCAAUACACCCAAACACUUUCGAAGGAAGCUUUGAAACAAAAACAAGAGAAACAUGUUUUUGUAGCACAUCAAACGGUGUCUGAAAAUCAAGAACCCGACUUGGAACACGAUUGAUCAAAUACACAGCAGCCAAAACAGCAUGACCCCACAAAUGAUUAGGAACACAUUUAUCUAACAUCAAGGAACGAGCAACCUCCAUUAUUUGACGAUUCUUCCGUUCGGACACACCAUUUUGUUGGGGUGUAAACGGAGUAGUCGUCUGGUGAAUAAUACCAUGAUCACGGAAAAAACAUGCCAAAGUGUGAUUCAUAUAUUCUCCUCCGUUAUCAGACCUGAAGACCUUAACUGUGGUCUGAAACUGAGUAGAUACCAUUGUACAAAAUUCUUGAAGAAAUAACGGAACAUCACUCUUAUUUUUCAUCAAGAACACCCAAGUUACCCGAGUACAAUCAUCAAUAAAAGUAACAAACCAACGGAAUCCAUUAGAAGUAACUUUUGCAGGACCCCACACAUCAGAAUGUAUCAAAUCAAAUGGUAAAGUAGCUUUAGAAUCACUUACAGGAAAGGAAGCACGAUGACUCUUAGCCAUGACACAUGUUUCACACUUGAACUCUGAAUAACUACAAGUGCGAAACAAAGAAGGAAAUAGAUGCUUCAUAUAACUGAAUGAUGGAUGUCCCAAUCGUCGAUGCCACAACCAAAUUUGAUGUCUAUUAUCCACUUUAGCACUUAAAACUUGAUGAUUAUUUGAACCGGAAACAACAGUAUCCUCCAUAGUCAAGAUGUACAAACCCCCUAUCCUUUUACCAUAACCAAUUAUCUUCUGAGUUUGAAUAUCUUGAAAAUAACAAUACGUAGGAUAGAAGUGAGCAGAACAAUAUAAAGUAUCAAGAAGUUUUCCUACCGACAAUAGAUUGCACUUAACAUCAGGAACAAGUAAAGCACGGACCAGUGAUAAGGUUGGAGUCAAAGAGAUAGUGCCUUCACCCUUCACAGGGGAAAGUGCUCCAUUUGCACUAGUAAUAUACAGAUCACGAACAUAAUCACCUAACUCAUCAAACACUCUAGGGUCACUCGUCACAUGAUCAGUGGCCCCAGUAUCAAUUAUCCAUUUAUUUGUUCCACCAAGAUGCAUAACAACACUAUGAUUAUAUUGAGCCAUUGAACAAAAUCACGAACAAUAAAGGCACAAAAGAUACGCAGCGGAAUGAAAACAAUUUACCAGAUAAUGUAGCAAUCACUGUUCACGGCACUGUAGCAAAUACUAUUCACAGCACUGUAGCAAUCACUGUUCACGCAAUGUAGAAGACCACUGUUCACGGCACUGUAGCACGAUACUUUUUUUUUUUUUUUCCACACAGAGGAAAUCACGAAAAAUAUGGGCACAAAAUUUAAAACACACAGGUCACCAAGAGCGAACUGCUCUGAUGCCAUAUUGAACUAAACAUGGUAAAUACCAAUAUUAAACUAAACAUGGUAAAUACCAAAAAUAUAUGAUAAUAUUUGGAAAUUUCUUGUAUAUUCAUUAAUCUCCAAAGUGGAGUAUAUAUAGGAGUUACAAUUGGUAUUAGAUAUGUACUUCACCAAUGUGGGACAAUAAACUACUAUUUACAUUUUAACUAAUGUAUAACUCGCAACACCUUCCAGUUUUGGGAAGCUGACUCGCAGGCAUGACCUGGCAACCCAUUUCCUUUGCGUGUUGGAAGUAUAUUUUUCCUUCGUCGGUGCUGAUCUCGGCCACAAUCCCUAUCUGACUCGUAUGU
RNAcentral lists this long non-coding RNA (5593 nucleotides) under Malus domestica (apple). Its description in RNAcentral is "long non-coding RNA (MDOM_LNC008964)". Lineage: Eukaryota; Viridiplantae; Streptophyta; Magnoliopsida; Rosales; Rosaceae. The record is from RNAcentral.